This 603-nucleotide ribosomal RNA is filed under the name Thalloidima candidum. RNAcentral describes it as "LSU rRNA". It matches the Rfam family "Eukaryotic large subunit ribosomal RNA", at positions 1 to 600 of the family's 3401-position model. Lineage: Eukaryota; Fungi; Ascomycota; Lecanoromycetes; Lecanorales; Ramalinaceae. The record is from RNAcentral.
GAUUGACCUCGGAUCAGGUAGGGAUACCCGCUGAACUUAAGCAUAUCAAUAAGCGGAGGAAAAGAAACCAACAGGGAUUGCCUCAGUAACGGCGAGUGAAGCGGCAACAGCUCAAAUUUGAAAUCUGGCCUCCAUGGGAGGUCCGAGUUGUAAUUUGUAGAGGAUGCUUCGGGUGCGGUGCCGGCUUAAGUUCCUUGGAACAGGGCGUCAUAGAGGGUGAGAACCCCGUAUGCGGCCGGCCCUCCAACCCCAGAAGGGGCUCCUUCGACGAGUCGAGUUGUUUGGGAAUGCAGCUCAAAACGGGUGGUAAAUUUCAUCUAAAGCUAAAUACCUGCCAGAGACCGAUAGCGCACAAGUAGAGUGAUCGAAAGGUGAAAAGCACUUUGGAAAGAGAGUCAAACAGUACGUGAAAUUGUUGAAAGGGAAGCGCUUGCGACCAACACUGCCCGUCGACGCUCAGCGGGGGUUCUCCCCCCGUGUAUUCGUCGCCGAGCAGGCCAGCAUCGGUUCCAGCGGCCGGAAAAAGGUCUUGGGAAUGUGGCUCCUCUCGGGGAGUGUUAUAGCCCUGGACGACAUACGGCCAGCAGGGACCGAGGACCGCGC